GUUCAGAACGUCGUGAGACAGUUCGGUCCCUAUCCGUCGUGGGCGUAGGAAAUUUGAGAGGAGCUGUCCUUAGUACGAGAGGACCGGGAUGGACAUACCUCUGGUGUACCAGUUGUCGUGCCAACGGCAUAGCUGGGUAGCUAUGUGUGGACGGGAUAAGUGCUGAAAGCAUCUAAGCAUGAAGCCCCCCUCAAGAUGAGAUUUCCCAACUUCGGUUAUAAGAUCCCUUAAAGAUGAUGAGGUUAAUAGGUUCGAGGUGGAAGCAUGGUGACAUGUGUAGCUGACGAAUACUAAUCGAUCGAAGACUUAAUCAAAA
Molecule: ribosomal RNA, 316 nt
Filed under: Staphylococcus aureus
Lineage: Bacteria; Bacillati; Bacillota; Bacilli; Caryophanales; Staphylococcaceae
Description: partial 23S ribosomal RNA
Rfam family: Bacterial large subunit ribosomal RNA
Source: RNAcentral